GACGAACGCUGGCGGCGUGCUUAACACAUGCAAGUCGAACGGUGAACCUCUUCGGAGGGGAUCAGUGGCGAACGGGUGAGUAACACGUGGGCAACCUGCCCCCGGCUCUGGGAUAACUCCAAGAAAUUGGGGCUAAUACCGGAUGUUCACCGCUUCCCGCAUGGGUGGUGGUGGAAAGGGUUUCCGGCUGGGGAUGGGCCCGCGGCCUAUCAGCUUGUUGGUGGGGUAGUGGCCUACCAAGGCGACGACGGGUAGCCGGCCUGAGAGGGUGACCGGCCACACUGGGACUGAGACACGGCCCAGACUCCUACGGGAGGCAGCAGUGGGGAAUAAUGCGCAAUGGGCGGAAGCCUGACGCAGCGACGCCGCGUGGGGGAUGACGGCCUUCGGGUUGUAAACCUCUUUCAGCAGGGACGAAGCGCAAGUGACGGUACCUGCAGAAGAAGCACCGGCCAACUACGUG
RNAcentral lists this ribosomal RNA (463 nucleotides) under uncultured bacterium. RNAcentral describes it as "partial 16S ribosomal RNA". It matches the Rfam family "Bacterial small subunit ribosomal RNA", at positions 28 to 507 of the family's 1533-position model. The record is from RNAcentral.